Molecule: long non-coding RNA, 3772 nt
Filed under: Panax ginseng (ginseng)
Lineage: Eukaryota; Viridiplantae; Streptophyta; Magnoliopsida; Apiales; Araliaceae
Description: long non-coding RNA (PGIN_LNC011397)
Source: RNAcentral
UUCUUACAAAAGUAAAUCUCUCUCUAAAAGACUACAACUAUAUCCUUCUUUAUUGUUUCCCCACAUACGCAUUCUGCUCCUCUAUCUCUCUAUUUCGCUUCCAUUUAGCACCUAACAAACUUCGCCGACGACUCCCACCGGCGUUUAACAUUUUCGGAUAUCCUGCUUUCUCCUGUGAGUUCACACGAUAAGUGCUCUCUCUAUUUGAUCUACUCUUUACUAUUAUAAUUAGUCUUUUGCAAUUUCUCACUAUCUGGUUAUUUACUGAAUAAACGGAAGGUCAAGUAAUUCGUUUACAUUAAGAGGUAGGCGAGUUUUUUUUUUUGGAAAUGUUUUCUAUGUCAUUUGUCUAAAUUUAUUGUUCAUUUUACUUUUCUGGCAGGAAAUUGCUGAUCUAAGCUUGAGGUAAGCUUGAAGUUUUAUUUUUUUGGUUUAAUUUCGUAUAUAUAUAUGUGUGUGUGUGUGUGUGUGUGUGUGUGUGUGUGGCUAACGGACAUACAUGAUACAUAUAAAAGCAGUAGUAUUUCAUUCUUUUAAAUUAUGUUUUUAUGAUAUUUAGUUGUUUACGGUGUUGAAGUUUGAUUCAAGUGUAAGUACUCUGCUUGUUUGUUUAUAUGUUGUUCUAUUUCAGUAUUUUGGUUUGAUUGCAUUAUGAUUUUUUCCUUAUUUUCCCGUUUGGAUAAAUUAUACUCUGUAGCCAGCUGGUGGAGACAAAUUCAAAGGAGGAGGAAGAAUUAAAGUGGUAAAAAUAAAAAGGUUUAAGUAGUAAAUAAAUAAAGAUACUUGGGAUGAAGUUUCAGGCAGAUGAUAUGAACUGUGGGAGAAAAUGUUCAUGAAGAAUCUUUAUUGGUUGGUAGAAAGCAGAUACUUGUUGCAAGUCUGUUUGAUGAAUUAUGUGACCAAAAUCUACUUUUUAUCUUCAUAAAUUUAAUUCUGCUGUGAAAGAGUGUCACCAUUGCUGAAGUUUCAGUAAAUGAAGUAUUUAUGUUACGGACUUACCUGGGAGCUUCCUUCCUUGGACCAUUUUCCAUGGCAUCAGGGGUAAAUUUUAUAUUUGGCCAAUGUAGAUGUAGAUUCCUUUAACGCCUAUGAUAAAAGUUUAGUUUUGGUUCUUACCUGAUAUCAGUAUUAUUGAUGUAGCAUAUAUUCUUUUGUUGUUUUUCAUCUGACCAAAUGGAAUCUGGAAGGAGGUUCUAUUACAGGCUUUAGGAAAUGAGAAAAAAAUCCAGCACGAAAACCACUCGGGAACAGUUUUAUUUUGUCCGAACUCGAUAAUGUUUUCGUAUUUCUGAUAUCAUCUUAUAAAAUUUAAAUUUUUACCCUUUUGGUGGCACUCGCCUCCCCUUUUUGUCGUAUACGUUGAUGAAGUGUUUCACGUGUCGCCAUGCUUCUUCUGAACUUGGAGCGUUUCAGACCUUCCUGCCUGUCACAGCAAUGUGCAUGCAUUGGAGUAAUAUGUGUGUCAUUAGACCAAUGAAAAAUGGAAGAUGGCUUCAUUAGAAAACUUUAGGAUAGGUUAGGAUUAUCCAGAACUCUACAACUAGGAAAAGUUUUGUUUUAUAGGAACAAUUAUAACCAUAUGCGUGAAUCUUUCAAUUUUGUUAAUAUUUUGUCUGUGGUGGUACUCAUGUAGUCAUGUCCUUCUUUCCCUUUCUGUCACAUAUGAUUAAUGAAGUGAUUCACGCGGUGACACACGUCUUUUAAACUUGGAGCAUUUCGCACCUUCCUGCCUGUCACAGCAAUACGCGUGUAAUGGAAUAAUCUGUGUCAUCUGACAAAUGGAGUAUGGAAGAAGGCUUAAUAAGAUAGCUUUAGGAUAUGACGGUAGUAUCAAGAACUUUAUAACUAGCUGCAAUUUUGUUUUAUUAGAACACACAGAUAUACCAUACGUAUAUGUUCUGUAUCUUAGACUUUUGUUACUUCCACGUUUGCGGGCAAUCACGUCUCUCAUCCCCUUUCUGUCGUGUACGAUCAAUGACGUAUUUUCCUUUUAGUGGAAGUGUUUUUUUUGUAGCACUUUACACUUCCUACCCGUCACAUUAAUUUGCAUGUUUAGGAAGAGUCUGUUUGUCAUCUGGCGAAUGCAUGUUGCUCACGUGUACCGUUCGUACUUCAUGAAUUCUGCAGCAUUUACAGGUUCCUGCCCUGUGACGUGGGCUUCAUCUGCCAAAUGGUAAAAUAUAGCAUAAGAUUGAAUAAGAUAGCUUCAGGAUAUGCUCACACUAAUUAACACCUAGCAGCUAAAAUAGCUUGGUUAUAUUCAAACUCAUAAUUAUGAUUCUGUAUUCAUACAUUUUCACAUUUUCUCUCGUGCGGUGGCAUUUCCCUCACUCCUUUUUUCCUUUUAAGAUUAAGAUUUGUAAGGAGCAUCUUAGGCGGAUCAUCCUUGGUUCUUGUGAAUGCUACAACAUUACACCAUUUCCCUGCAAUAUGCAAAAUUUUAAGAUACUCUCUAAUUGACCAAAUCGGAACAUUGGAUGAAGUUUUUAUGUGGUUUAGAGAACUCUUCAAUAACUUAUAACCUAGAAAGAAUUCAGAUUUGAGGGUCUAGUGUAAUUAUAAACCUAUCUUUUUGUGCUUUUUGAUGGCACAUCUUUCCUCUUGUUUACGACUUUCAGGAGUGUGUCAUGCAUUGACCUUACUUCCUUUGUUUGCACAUCAUUGUUUAACCCUAUACCUGCUAUUGACACCUGAGAUUUUGACAGUGAUCUAUUCCAUGUAUAUGAUACUUCUUGGGCACAAUGCUAAAGUGAACAGAACCAAAGCAUACAGUGGGGUCUUAUUUGAUACAUUAAAUUAUUUUUUAAAUUGAGAUAGCUUUGAUCGUUUUAUUAGGCCAUUUUACUCUUCGUAAAGGUCUUAUCAGUAUGAAAAAUUGCGGAGGACAAAAAAAUGACAUUCCAAUAGUAAGCUGGUAUAGUGGUAUACUAGAUGCGUUUUCCAAACAAUAUUGUGCGAGUAGGACUCAUCAAAUUAUUUUCCUUAUUGCUCGUCUCUUGUACUUACAACUUAGUUAAAUUCAAUAAUCUUAUUGUUGUUGUUGUAUAUAUUGUACUUAUGGUUGGUGCUUAUAGAAGAAAAAUAACAUGGGCUGCUUGAUUCAGUAAUUUGGUGAGACUAAGACACUUCCGUGGAAGGAGCUAUAUGAUAAUUAUGUACACUGCCUGGCAACUUACAACUUGGUUAAAUUCAAUAAUCUUUUUAUUUAUUGUACUUAUGGUUGGUGCUUAUAGAAGAAUAAUAAUAUCGGAUGUUUGAUUCAGUAUUUUGGUGAGACCAAGUCACUUCCGUGGACGAUAAUUAUGUACACUGCCUGGCAAGACAAUGGAGAGUUAAAAUUAUUUUAAAUUAAAAACAAAGACAUGUUUAAGUGAUUCCGUCUUUCCCACACGUUUUUUAAUUGGAUCUAUCAUUCUUUAUUUGUACGUUUUAACAAUUUCUUUUUAAGUGAAGUGUAUUAAAGAGUUCUAGUGAGGAGUGUGAGCUCCAGUACGUGAUUAUAAGAAAGCUACCUAACCAAAAACAAAGAUAAGCUCUCCAUGUGCACCUUGAUGUACUUAUUUUCACCGUGACAGGAAAAAUGCUGGUGCAUAGUGAUAUUUCAGAAAAAUUGGUCUUCAAAUACGUUUCUCCUUUAGCAGUUACUAGCUUGUCCGUGGCACACCUCACCAUAUUAUUUUUAACCAUUUUACCGCAUCAUCAUUUGCAUAAACUGCAUUGCUCCUACCACCAAUAAUAAUGCCUUCUGAGCUGCAGGCACUCAGCUUUUAAA